This 926-nucleotide ribosomal RNA is filed under the name uncultured Bacteroidota bacterium. Its description in RNAcentral is "uncultured Bacteroidetes bacterium partial 16S ribosomal RNA". The record is from RNAcentral. Lineage: Bacteria; Pseudomonadati; Bacteroidota.
GAGUUUGAUCCUGGCUCAGGAUGAACGCUAGCGGCAGGCUUAAUACAUGCAAGUCGAGGGGCAGCAGCUUUAUAGCAAUAUAGAGGCUGGCGACCGGCAAACGGGUGCGGAACACGUACACAACCUUCCUUGAAUAGGGGGAUAGCCCAUAGAAAUGUGGAUUAAUACCCCGUAAUAUAGCGGUGUGGCAUCACACUGUUAUUAUAGUUUCGGCGAUUCGAGAUGGGUGUGCGGCUGAUUAGGUAGUUGGCGGGGUAAAGGCCCACCAAGCCUUCGAUCAGUAGCUGAUGUGAGAGCAUGAUCAGCCACACGGGCACUGAGACACGGGCCCGACUCCUACGGGAGGCAGCAGUAAGGAAUAUUGGUCAAUGGACGCAAGUCUGAACCAGCCAUGCCGCGUGAAGGAUGAAGGUCCUCUGGAUUGUAAACUUCUUUUAUAGGGGGCGAAAAAAGGUCUUUCUAGAUCACUUGACAGUACCCUAUGAAUAAGCACCGGCUAACUCCGUGCCAGCAGCCGCGGUAAUACGGAGGGUGCAAGCGUUAUCCGGAUUCACUGGGUUUAAAGGGUGCGUAGGCGGGUAGGUAAGUCAGAGGUGAAAUCCUGGAGCUUAACUCCAGAACUGCCUUUGAUACUAUCUAUCUUGAAUAUGGUGAAGGUAAGCGGAAUAUGUCAUGUAGCGGUGAAAUGCAUAGAUAUGACAUAGAACACCCUAUUGCGAAGGCAGCUUACUACGCCUAUAUUGACGCUGAGGCACGAAGCSUGGGGGAUCAAACAGGAUUWKAWACCCUGGUWRUCCACGCCUAACSAUGAUUACUCSACGUAKGCRAUACWCAGUAUGCGUCUGASCGAAGCAUUAAGWAUCCCCCUUGGGAAGUAYSACCUGCWAGGUUGAAACUCAAAGGAUUGGCGGGGGUUCSAMARMGGA